Molecule: long non-coding RNA, 3885 nt
Filed under: Homo sapiens (human)
Lineage: Eukaryota; Metazoa; Chordata; Mammalia; Primates; Hominidae
Description: HSALNT0406267
Source: RNAcentral
AGAGCCUCAGUCUCCCGUGAGCAGAGGGUGUGUGUGUGGCUGCCACUAUUCUGCAGACACGCUGGCUCCACCCCAGAGAGUUGCAGGGCCAGGAAAUCUGCAUUUAAACAGACCCUGGCUCUCACACUUCGGAAACUGCCCGAAGCACCUCUCAAAUAUGGGACAGAUUUUCAGCUGCAUUCAGAGUUCAGCAGCUUUCGGGCGGUUCCUGGAAGCCCGACGUCAUUUAUAAUCCGGUUUCUGAGUGGGAACGGCUUUCUCUGGGAGACAGCUCCUUGGGAAGUUAGAGACUUCCUGCACUUAUUGGACUCGAACAUCCAUUCUGUACAAAAUGCCCCGCAACACUGAGGAGAUGCUGUUUUGUUUUUGUUUGUUUGUUUGUUUUUUCGAGACGGAGUUUUACUCCUGUUGCCCAGACUGGAGUGCAAUGGUGCGAUCUUGGCUCACUGCAACCUCCGCCUCCCGGGUUCAAGUGAUUCUCCUGCCUCAGCCUUCUGAGUAGCUGGGACUACAGGCAAGAUGCUGUUUUAGGACCAGAAAUCUCCCAGGGGUGUGCAGAUCAACAGUAAUCCCAGUCUGCCCUCCAUCGUCGGAAUAGAAUCAGAGGGAGGGAAAAUCCGCCUUUGGAUCUCUGGACCAUGAUCUUUCCAGCAGGUCACAGGUGACCAAAGGCUUCACUUGCAGAAGCCCCCUCCCCAGGAAACUCCCCUGGGGCAAAACGAAAGUGUUUUGGGCGUUUUUGUCUGCCUGGCAGGGAGCCUGUGCCUGAGUCACUGUUUCUCUUGAGCUUCCCUUUUCUUUUCUUUCCUCCCGGUGUCUGCUGAUUUUGUGUCAAACAAGGAGCAUGGGGCCAGGCCAUCUCUGAGCUGCCCGUGGGACGGGGACUUGGGCACUUGCCAGGAGCGGCUGGCCUAGGAGUGGGCGGGAGGCCCUUGGUCACCCACCCCAGGGCCUGGCUUCAGGUGGCCACAGCUUUCUGACCCCCUUCUGGGCACUGGGCCACCAGCUGCUGGGCAUGGCCAGUGAGUGAGGGUGAGGGCAAGAUGAGGAAGAGGUGGCGUAAGGUGGGAAAGGAUUACUUGCCAGACGCUUGGCUGAGUCUGUUCUCUAAGCCAUGCUGCGAGGCAGGUGCUAUUGUGUCUGCAUUUUGCGGAUGAGGAAACUGUGGCUCAGAGAAGGGAAGUCACUGUUUUAAGGUGAAGUGGCCAGUGGAGGUGGGGCUAGGGUUCGAAUCCUAGGAUCAGGCACACUGCCUGGGGAUAACCUCUAGAGGUGUCUGUGCUUCCCAGCUAGACCGGAGCUCGCUGCAGCCCCUCACUUUUUCCCCGGUCCUGCUUCAGGCCCCACUUCCUCUCUGCAGGUGCUUAGGCCGAAAAUCAGGAAUCUCUUGAAUGAAUGCAUGAAGGUGGAGCCCUUUCCCUUAAUGCGCAGGUGAAAAGGGCACCUCGGUGGAUUCUACUAAAUUUAAUAGAAGGUGUCUACUCCUGCAGGCUUACCUGUAACCUUUGUCACUCACUCUUCUGAUUCUGCAAACAUAUAAACCACGGAGCCACAGCCAAGAGAAUCUGGACUUGUUCGUUUUUCCUGAAAUAGGAUAUCUUAAAUAAUCCGUGGCUCAGCACUGCGCCCUUUUUUUUCUUUUCUUUUCUUUUUUUUUUUUUUUUUGAGACGGAGUCUCGCUCUGUUGCCCAGGCUGGAGUGCAAUGUCAUGAUCUUGGCUCACUGCAACCUCUGCCUCCUGGGUUCAAGCAACUCUCCUGCCUCAGCCUCCUGAGGAGCUGGGACUGCAGGUGCAAGACACCACGCCUGGCUAAUUUUUGUUAUUUUUAGUAGAGACAGUGUUUCACUAUGUUGGCCAGGCUGGUCUCGAACUCCUGACCUCAAAUGAUCUGCCUGCCUCGGCCUCCCAAAGUGCUGGGAUUACAGGCACAAGCCACAGCACCCAGCCUCACUGUGCCCUUUUCACUGGCAGGCAUUUUAUUGUCCCUACAGACCCAAGACGGGGUGGGGGAGACGUGCUUUGUGCUCACCUGGCUGGUUCAUGGGCAGGUGGCCUGGAGGACCCAGCCCUGGCAGCUGUGGGGUAGCUCCAGCCUGGGCCGGACAGCUUCUUUCAUCGCAGGCACCACUGCGGACAUUGCUGGGAGGAAGAGGAGGGAGAAGCGACGGGCUUCAUUAGGAACGGAAAUGCCAAGAUUAGUGAAAGAAUGAAAAGAGUCAAAACAGCCUAGAAAAGGCUUCAAUGAUCCUCAAACUGGAUGAUCGAAUCCCGAAUAAUUGGGAAUCAACAGUAAAGGCCAAAGCUUUCGAUGGAUUGGACGAGGCGCGUCCACCCUGGGGAGGGCCAUCAUUUUAUUCAGUCUACUGAUGCAAAUGCUUAUCUCUUCUGGAAACACCUUCACAGACAGACCCAGAAUAUAGUUGAACCAAAUACUGGGCACCUCAUGGCUCCAACAGGUUGACACAAAAAAUGAACCAUUGCAGAAAACGAAGAACAGUCACCAACUCCCACCCAUGCAGCUGGCUCAUUUGCUGGGCUGCCCUCCCCAGCAGGUGGCACAGGAAUCCCUGCCUUGGCAGGGAGGAGGCCUGGGGUGUGUGCAGGUACCCAUGGGAAGUUUCUUUGCCAUGGGGAAAGCCAGAGUCACCCCUUGCUUGAACACAAGAGUUGGAGGUUUCAGUGAGCUGAGAUUACGCUAUUGCACUCCAGCCUGGGCGGCAGAGUGAGACUCUGUCUCUAGAUAAAUAAAUUAAAUAAAUAAAUAAAUAUAAUUUAAUAUAAAUAACUAGAAAUUUUUCAAUACUUGCAUCUCUGUAGGUUACCUCUGGAAGUGCAGGGCUUUGUCUUUUUGGAUUAACUCAGAAAUUAGACCUUCAGAAAACAACAUCAGCUCUGAUUCUCUGCACCCUUGAUGCUGCCGGUGGCGACUGCGGCUUCCUGAUGGAAAUGUAGACCUGAACAUAAGUCGCAGAAAAAUGCAGACUUGAGUUGGAGCUAAGCUGACUCAGAGCUGCCCUAGAAAGAGGCCCCGUGGCAAAGAACCAAAGGCACCCAGCAACACGAGUGAGGGUGGAAGUGGCUCUUUCCCCAUUCCAGCCUCGCGGUGACCGCAGCCCUGGCUGACACCUUGCUUGCAGCCUGGUGAGAGACAGCAGCCCGAGGACCCUGCUAAGCUGCACCCAGGCUCCUGACCCAUGGAAACUGUGAGAUGAUAAACAUGUACUGCUUAAGCUGAGAUUCGGGCUAAUUUGUUACACAGUCAUAGACAUCGUUUUUUGUUGUUGUUGUUUUUUGAGAUGGAGUCUCACUCUGUCGCCCAGGCUGGAGUGCAGUGGCACAAUCUCAGCUCACUGCAACAUCCACCUCCCAGGUUCAAGCGAUUCUCGUGCCUCAGCCUCCCAAGUAGCUGGGAUUACAGGCAUCUGCCACCAUGCCCGGCUAAUUUUUUUGUAUCUUUAGGAGAGACAGGGUUUCACCAUGUUGGCCAGCUGGUCUCAAACUCCUGAGCUCAAGAGAUCUGCCCACCUUGGCCUCCCAAAGUGCUGGGAUUACAGGCAUGAGCCACUGUGCCCGGCCUGUUACACAGUCAUAGACAUCUAUAAAAUACUCAACACGGUGCCGGCGCAUGGCAAGCAUCAGUUACUGACCACGGUGACCCUUCUGUGUACACCAGGGGAACUCAAAAUACUCAGGAAAUCUAAGCAUAUAAGCCUAGUCACCAGGCUGUCGACAUGACCCUUAACAAUGAACCUGUGUCUUUUGCCACCUCAUGAUGUCAUAGAAGAAGAGCAGCAUCAAUGUUAAGAGUCUGGAGGAGGGACUAGAUGCUGUGGCUCACACCUGUAAUCCCAGCACUUUGGGAGGCCGAGGCAGGUGGAUCACCU